RNAcentral lists this long non-coding RNA (428 nucleotides) under Pan troglodytes (chimpanzee). Its description in RNAcentral is "long non-coding RNA NONPTRT008003". Lineage: Eukaryota; Metazoa; Chordata; Mammalia; Primates; Hominidae. The record is from RNAcentral.
AAACUGAGGCACGGGGGAAGGAAAGGGGCAAAAACAUUCUGUGUCUGGCUGACUCUGCCGGGAGCUGAAACCCAGGACUCCAGGGGCUGUGCCCGGUGGUGCCCUCAGAACUCCUCGUGUGUCAAUGCCACCGCCUGUCGCUGCAGUCCAGGGUUCAGCUCUUUUUCUGAGAUCAUCACCACCCCCACGGAGACUUGUGACGACAUCAACGAGUGUGCAACACCAUCGAAAGUGUCAUGCGGAAAAUUCUCGGACUGCUGGAACACAGAGGGGAGCUACGACUGCGUGUGCAGCCCGGGAUAUGAGCCUGUUUCUGGGGCAAAAACAUUCAAGAAUGAGAGCGAGAACACCUGUCAAGAUGUAGACGAAUGUCAGCAGAACCCAACGCUCUGUAAAAGCUACGGCACCUGCGUCAACACCCUUGGCAG